This 255-nucleotide ribosomal RNA is filed under the name uncultured bacterium. RNAcentral describes it as "partial 16S ribosomal RNA". It matches the Rfam family "Bacterial small subunit ribosomal RNA", at positions 524 to 776 of the family's 1533-position model. The record is from RNAcentral.
UACGGGGGGUGCGAGCGUUUGUCCGGAAUCACUGGGCGUAAAGAGCUCGUAGGCGGUUUGUCGCGUCUGCUGUGAAAACCCGAGGCUCAACCUCGGGCCUGCAGUGGGUACGGGCAGACUAGAGUGCGGUAGGGGAGAUUGGAAUUCCUGGUGUAGCGGUGGAAUGCGCAGAUAUCAGGAGGAACACCAAUGGCGAAGGCAGAUCUCUGGGCCGUAACUGACGCUGAGGAGCGAAAGCAUGGGGGAGCGAACAGG